Molecule: long non-coding RNA, 2896 nt
Organism: Centrocercus urophasianus (Greater sage-grouse)
Lineage: Eukaryota; Metazoa; Chordata; Aves; Galliformes; Phasianidae
Exons: 5
Source: RefSeq, a predicted model, not a curated record
GGGGAGCCGCGCGGGAGCGACGGCGGCAGCCGCGGCCGUGGAGAUUUAGGCCGGGCGGUCGGCCCGCAGCGCGGGGAGGUGGGAGGUUAGAAGAUGAUAGAUCAGAGAUUCUGGAUGAGAGCAUUCCACUCACUAAAGACAAGCUCCACAGGCAUUAGAACAGUUGUACACCACAUUUCCUUCCUAGAAGAGGAAGUGCCUGAAGUGGAGAAGAGCCAAGGUGCCUUUUUAAUACAAUUUGCCAGUUGUUUUGAUGUGCAACUAUUCCAUCUUUAAAAACACCUCCUCCAUGAUGGCACUUUAAGGUCUGCCAAUACUCUACCAAACCGAAGACAUUCCCUAUGAAUAAUGCAGGGCCAGAGAAUAACUACAACAACAAAAAAUUGGCUUCUUGGAUGGAAGAAGUCUACAAUUCAGAAUGAGCAGAAGCUUAAAACCAUGGAACAGUUCAGUUAGAAAAACAAAAAUCUCUCAUCAUGAGAUGAAGGGCAGUCUCUAAGAUACAAGGAACUUACUACAGAAUUUAUUCAAGUAAAAAGAUGGGGGUUGUGACUACAGUAACCGAGCGCUCCGAUCAAACACAGCCCUGCUACACUCCCUGUCCUGCACAGUUCUGUGUACACACCGGGCUUUUCGUGCUCAUUCUCCUACCAACUUCGACGAGGUGAUGCUGUAACAGUCACUAAUGACUUACUAUUCCAUGACUGUCACCACCACUGCUCAGUGCCAGAAACGGACAAAAGUGACAGGGCCAACACGAACCCACCAGCUUCACCAUCAACAAGGACUGAGUAUCACUAAGCUCUCAUCCCUUCCCAUUCAUCUAAUUCAGAAACAGCUCUUGACUAAGAGUAGCAAGCUGAUCAUGAUGUUUAUGACUGAUUUCUAAUUUGUAGCCAUGAUACGAAGAAGAAACAAUACUGAAUUUAUUAAGGGUCUACAGGAAAAUUUUCAGAAAUACCAAACCAACUCUAAUGCUGUGGUGUGAGUGAGCUAGUCUGCAGCACCCACGGUCAGAAGGAAACACAGCUGCAUGGAACACCGUGCACACAAACGCUAGGAAACCAAAGAAAAGUGUUGACUUAGUCUAUAAAUCUCAGGUCUCCAAAUUUCUCAGUUAAAUUACCUGCAGCAGAGACACUGCUCAGAGACAUCACACAAAGUCACUAAUGACAGUAAUUCAAAGAAAUCAUAUAGGCCAGGAAAAAAUUACUUCAACUUAGAUAUUGAUUUCCUCCAAGAUUUGUUGUGAGUAUAAGCACAGUGUAUUUACCUGACCUAAAUUCUAAAUGCAAGUUCAUAAUGUUUGUGACAGUAAAGGUGUUUCAGCUAGCAUUCCUCUCUACUCUUAAUUAAAAGGAUUGGAAUUAUAAAAAAACCUAUGAUUUAGUUAAUGUGAAAAGUAGUUGCUUUCUGUAUGUUAUCUGGAACCUUUCAUUUGAGAUAAACCCAAACCACUCUACAAAGAAUUAGCAUUCUGGUGAAGUACUUCACACAUAAUUAGCAUUCUGGUGAAAUACUUCACAUGUAGAGUCGUUAUCAGCCUGGUAACUCAUUUGCCACAUUGGAGAUAAGAACCCAAACCCAGCUAUGAAGAGCACUUCCACAGGUAUCCUCUGCCUUCUCAGAGAUGGCGAGGAUUAAACAGAACACAACAGAAAAUUACACUCUCUUACCAGUUACUGCCUCUAAAGACACUGAAUGAAAGCCAUGAACUGCUGUUUUUGUUAUCUGUGUUCAUUCCUACCUGUACACCUUUAUAAUCAAGCAUCUUAUCUGCAGUUACAAAAAAUACCCAGGCCUAAUACAUUCUCCUUCAUGAUGCAAGAGUGAAUGUCAUCAUCUGGGUAAUUAGACUGAUCCAUGUACUCACUCCCAGCCAAGGACAUUUUUUUCAUCCUCACGAAGGACAAGGAAACAAGGUUUGCAUCUGAAUCUCUAACUUAUGUUAGUUUUGAAAGCUGACAAAGGCAAACCAGUUACUUCGUUAUAAACAGCAUCUGAGUUCAUGGCUCCGUUAUCAGAUGUUCUGAGAAUAUUCAUAUUAUCCCCUUGCACUUUCUUCUCUCCCAAGAUCCAUUUCUAAAGGCACACACUGAAGAGAAUUAGGAAAAACCCUUAAGUGUUAUAAAGUGUUAUAGCUCUGUACUGUGUAUUAGGCUUUGGUAAGCAAUAACAGAACGUGCCAAGCUCUGCCCUACUUAUCUGCCCAUCCUUGUGCCUGUGCUGUGGUUAUUCAGUUUUAAUGCCUAGGCACCUCUGGACAAAAGCUAUUUCCUGGUAAAAUAAAAAUAAUACCAUUUACGACAAAGUACCAAUGCGUAAGUGGUGAAAAAGCUUUUGAGAAUAACAAUGGAUAUUUACACUGCAAGCAUCUGUAUUGAGAAAUGGUUGUAUUAAACAACCACACUUUAAGACCAGAAAGAGUAACUUCUACACACUUCAGAGCAACAAUAUGUUAGUUACUUCCACGAGCAGAACUAAAACUUCCCUAAGAAAAAUUUUAAGAUUGCAGUUUUGCUUCUAUUGUAAAUACAUCUAAUAUAACUUAGAAAUUUUACAUCAUUUUACAUCAAAAGAUGUAAGAGGUAACUGAAAAUGCUUAACAACAGUGCUGAAUCAGCAAUGCCAGUUUCAUACAGCGACACUAUAUUUAUUAUUACAGUGACACAAUUUAUUACUGUGACACUAUAACAUGAUGGAAAACACAGCACUGACAGUGGGAUAGCAAAGUCCCAGGCUGCAGCAAGUGAGGAUAAGCUGAAUUGCAGCAGACGUGGAUGCAGAAACAAAGGAAGAAGUCUGCUUACCCUUGGAAGGCCUCAGCUGGGCAGGGAUCUCCAGCAAGAUACUCUUGCCUCCACUGCCAACCCUUAAAUGAGGGCUGGAGGAGGUG